GGUAUCGCCGUUAGUCAUGUGCAAAUAUGGAUAGCUGUUUUAGCCGUCUUUAUUGACUGGUUUAUAAGAGUUAUCAGAUAUCACUUUGAUUAAAUUAGAGUGCUUAAAGCAAGUGUGUUACUUGGAUAUGAAUGCAUGGAAUGAUGGAAUAUGUUGUUAUUCUAUUUGUUGGUUUUUGAAUGAUAAAAUGAUUGAAAGGAACUGUUGGGGGCAUUCGUAUUGUUGUGAGAGAGGUGAAAUUCUUAGACCACAGCAAGACGAACUACUGCGAAAGCAUUUGCCAAGAAUGUUUUCAUUGAUCAAGAACGAAAGUUAGAGGUUCGAAGGCGAUCAGAUACCGCCCUAGUUCUAACCAUAAACUAUGCCAACUAGCAAUUUGCUUUGUAUUUUUUAUGACUAAGUGAGAGGCCACGGGAAACCUAAGUAGGGUUAUGGGGGAAGUAUGGUUGCAAAGCUGAAACUUAAAGGAAUUGACGGAAGGGCACCACCAGGAGUGGAGCCUGCGGCUUAAUUUGACUCAACACGGGUAAACUUACCUGGUCCUGACACUAGAAGGAUUGACAGAUUGAUAGCUCUUUCUUGAUUUGGUGGAUGGUGGUGCAUGGCCGUUCUUAGUUGGUGGAGUGAUUUGUCUGGUUAAUUCCGAUAACGAACGAGACUCUAGCCUAUUAAAUAAUACACGGAAUUUUAUCUUCCGCGGUAUUUCUUAGUGGGAUCAAGCG
This 722-nucleotide ribosomal RNA is filed under the name uncultured eukaryote. RNAcentral's name for it is "bacterial SSU rRNA". It matches the Rfam family "Eukaryotic small subunit ribosomal RNA", at positions 672 to 1426 of the family's 1831-position model. The record is from RNAcentral.